This 211-nucleotide ribosomal RNA is filed under the name uncultured bacterium. RNAcentral describes it as "partial 16S ribosomal RNA". It matches the Rfam family "Bacterial small subunit ribosomal RNA", at positions 126 to 334 of the family's 1533-position model. The record is from RNAcentral.
CUUUCCGUUCCCGGGACGUAACUAAGCCGAAAGGUUAGCUAAUACCAGAUACGCUCAUCGUGCGGCAUCGCACAAUGAUGAAAGCAGCAAUGCGCGGAUUGAGGAGGCUGCGGCCCAUUAGCUAGUUGGUGAGGUAACGGCCCACCAAGGCGACGAUGGGUAGCUGGUCUGAGAGGACGACCAGCCACACUGGGACUGAGACACGGCCCAG